This 1115-nucleotide ribosomal RNA is filed under the name Vibrio sp. RNAcentral's name for it is "bacterial SSU rRNA". It matches the Rfam family "Bacterial small subunit ribosomal RNA", at positions 57 to 1153 of the family's 1533-position model. Lineage: Bacteria; Pseudomonadati; Pseudomonadota; Gammaproteobacteria; Vibrionales; Vibrionaceae. The record is from RNAcentral.
GCAGUCGAGCGGAACGAGUUAUCUGAACCUUCGGGGAACGAUAACGGCGUCGAGCGGCGGACGGGUGAGUAAUGCCUAGGAAAUUGCCUUGAUGUGGGGGAUAACCAUUGGAAACGAUGGCUAAUACCGCAUGAUGCCUACGGGCCAAAGAGGGGGACCUUCGGGCCUCUCGCGUCAAGAUAUGCCUAGGUGGGAUUAGCUAGUUGGUGAGGUAAUGGCUCACCAAGGCGACGAUCCCUAGCUGGUCUGAGAGGAUGAUCAGCCACACUGGAACUGAGACACGGUCCAGACUCCUACGGGAGGCAGCAGUGGGGAAUAUUGCACAAUGGGCGCAAGCCUGAUGCAGCCAUGCCGCGUGUAUGAAGAAGGCCUUCGGGUUGUAAAGUACUUUCAGCAGUGAGGAAGGGGGUGUCGUUAAUAGCGGCAUCUCUUGACGUUAGCUGCAGAAGAAGCACCGGCUAACUCCGUGCCAGCAGCCGCGGUAAUACGGAGGGUGCGAGCGUUAAUCGGAAUUACUGGGCGUAAAGCGCAUGCAGGUGGUUUGUUAAGUCAGAUGUGAAAGCCCGGGGCUCAACCUCGGAACUGCAUUUGAAACUGGCAAACUAGAGUACUGUAGAGGGGGGUAGAAUUUCAGGUGUAGCGGUGAAAUGCGUAGAGAUCUGAAGGAAUACCAGUGGCGAAGGCGGCCCCCUGGACAGAUACUGACACUCAGAUGCGAAAGCGUGGGGAGCAAACAGGAUUAGAUACCCUGGUAGUCCACGCCGUAAACGAUGUCUACUUGGAGGUUGUGGCCUUGAGCCGUGGCUUUCGGAGCUAACGCGUUAAGUAGACCGCCUGGGGAGUACGGUCGCAAGAUUAAAACUCAAAUGAAUUGACGGGGGCCCGCACAAGCGGUGGAGCAUGUGGUUUAAUUCGAUGCAACGCGAAGAACCUUACCUACUCUUGACAUCCAGAGAACUUAGCAGAGAUGCUUUGGUGCCUUCGGGAACUCUGAGACAGGUGCUGCAUGGCUGUCGUCAGCUCGUGUUGUGAAAUGUUGGGUUAAGUCCCGCAACGAGCGCAACCCUUAUCCUUGUUUGCCAGCGAGUAAUGUCGGGAACUCCAGGGAAACUGCC